UAUAUAUAUUAUAUUUUGAAGUGUUACAAGAUUAUAGAGCAACUUGGUUGGAUGUAAUUAAAAAUAUAGGGUGGUUGAAGAUGCAUGCAGUUAGAAAUAAAAAAGUUACAAACUAUAGGUAUCUUGUUUAGUUGGAUAUAGUAGAAAGCAUUAUAACUAUAAAUAAAUUAUUUGGUUGUAUGCAGUUGAAAACUAUACUUUUAAAUUUUUAUUAUUUUAUAUCUAUGAGGGUGAG
Molecule: long non-coding RNA, 235 nt
Filed under: Ananas comosus (pineapple)
Lineage: Eukaryota; Viridiplantae; Streptophyta; Magnoliopsida; Poales; Bromeliaceae
Description: long non-coding RNA (ACOM_LNC016339)
Source: RNAcentral